Molecule: long non-coding RNA, 656 nt
Filed under: Pongo abelii (Sumatran orangutan)
Lineage: Eukaryota; Metazoa; Chordata; Mammalia; Primates; Hominidae
Description: lincRNA
Source: RNAcentral
UCCCAAAAUGCUGAAAUUACAUGUGUUAGCCAUAGUAAUAGUUCCUAGCCAUAGUCCAGAGAUAUUUUAAAAACUUUAGUGUGAGUUAUUUCUCUUUGCUAUAAUUCUCUCAUGCAUUUUGAAAACCUUUUCUGCCAUACAGUGGUUUUUGGGAAGUCCUUUUGGACAGACAUAUCACAGGAUGGAGAAACUAAAAAGAGAGAGAAUGCAUUAAAGAAAAAAUAGUACUUCAUAUUUCAGAAAUUACAAAAGGUUGUCAUGCCCCACAGCAUGGUGGGCAGUCAUUUGUAACCCACAGAACAUUGAGUUUCUAAAAUUUGAGUGUUUUUUAACUUACGAAGGCCAACUUUACUGAUGAAGUGGUUACCCCAAAUAUGUGAAAUCCAUAUUUCAAGCACAAUAGCAGGAAAUCGGAAAUGGAUAGUUCAUUGUUAGUGUAUGAAAAAACUACUGAUUUUUUAUGUUGAUUUUAUAUACUGCAACUUUAUUGAAUUCUCAAUAAAUGGUGUUGAAAAAACUGGAUGUCCUCAUGAAGAAGAAUGAAAUUGAACACAUCACAUCCCAUAUACAAGAAUCAACUCAAAAUGGGUUGAAGACUUAAAUAUAAGAUCUGAAACUAUAAAACUAGAAAUAAAAAAUGUAAGAGAAAAGCUCCA